UGGGGUUUGCCAUGAUGCGAUAUCGGCCGCGGAUCUAUCGACUAUCAUCCUGCGGUCAUUGGGAGUUGUGGCAGAAAGGGCAACGCAUCGCUUGAUUUUGAAAAGAGGUCAAUACACUUUUUCCAUCAUUAAUAUCAGUGCAGGAUUUGAGAUGCCAUGAUGAUUUCGAGCGGAAUGGCUUCCUGCAUGUCCUUUCGGGUUGCAAGGUGGUGCCAUAUGGUGACGCAUUGGUCGUUAGAUGAG
Molecule: long non-coding RNA, 243 nt
Filed under: Elaeis guineensis (African oil palm)
Lineage: Eukaryota; Viridiplantae; Streptophyta; Magnoliopsida; Arecales; Arecaceae
Description: long non-coding RNA (EGUI_LNC031256)
Source: RNAcentral